AGCAGAUAAAUCAAAGUGUAUUCCAGUGAUAUUUCGUGUGUCACAAGUGUUUAACAUCCUCCUUUUAUAGUAAUUUUGGAGAUAUGUGCCUUACCCUUGUAAUAAUAAGGCUAUUAUGAGCAUUUAAUGACAUUAAAUGAAACGUUACACAGUCAUUUCAUUAAACAAAUAUUCUCUACUCCCUCCGGUCCAAAAUGAGUAAUUUUUUUGCCUUUUUCUUGUGGUCCAAAAUAAGUGUUUUUUUCAAAUUUCA
Molecule: long non-coding RNA, 253 nt
Filed under: Nicotiana benthamiana
Lineage: Eukaryota; Viridiplantae; Streptophyta; Magnoliopsida; Solanales; Solanaceae
Description: long non-coding RNA (NBEN_LNC008511)
Source: RNAcentral